RNAcentral lists this ribosomal RNA (253 nucleotides) under uncultured bacterium. RNAcentral describes it as "partial 16S ribosomal RNA". It matches the Rfam family "Bacterial small subunit ribosomal RNA", at positions 524 to 776 of the family's 1533-position model. The record is from RNAcentral.
UACAGAGGUCCCAAGCGUUGUUCGGAUUCACUGGGCGUAAAGGGUGCGUAGGUGGCCAGGUAAGUUCGGUGUGAAAGCUCGGAGCUCAACUCCGAAAUGUCAUUGAAUACUAUCUGGCUGGAGGGUCGGAGGGGAGACUGGAAUUCUCGGUGUAGCAGUGAAAUGCGUAGAUAUCGAGAGGAACACCAGUGGCGAAGGCGAGUCUCUGGACGACUCCUGACACUGAGGCACGAAAGCUAGGGGAGCAAACAGG